UUAAAUUAAUUUUUUUUUGCACUACACAUGAGCCAUAUGAUAUUGUUCCUUGGCAUCCUUGUAAGCAGGACCGACUGUUAUUUGUUCAUGAAACUCAGUUUUACAGUUCAUGAUGAGCCAGUAUUUUUUGAAGAAAUGGUGAAAAGGUCAUUUAUACAUUUUCACUAAUGAAAAGGUCUAUGGGCUAUACUAAUCUUAUGAUUUCUGUGUGAAUCAUGCUCCUUAAAACCUGACUGAUCUUUUAUGCAGUCAUUAGCUUUGGAGUACCACAGACAGAAUAAGAUAGCACAAGUUUCAAUGAAUAUUCUCUGCCCACAUUAUAUGUUUUAUUAAAAAAAAAAACAAUUUACUGAAAAAGAAUCUCUGCCUCACUUUUUAGUCUCAAGAGGGAUGUUUUCAUGUUGUCUCUAUAAACCUAUACAUACAUUUGAUAAAGAGAUUGUUUUUACUGACAGUGAUCUGUUUAUCUUCCUUCACUCUUCCAGGAUUGUUGAAAUUUACAGCAGACGUUUACAAGUUCAGGAAAGAUUAACAAAACAAAUUGCUGUUGCCAUCACUGAAGCCUUGCAGCCUGCCGGUGUUGGGGUUGUUAUAGAAGCCACUCACAUGUGCAUGGUCAUGAGAGGUGUACAGAAGAUGAACAGCAAGACCGUGACUAGCACAAUGCUGGGUGUCUUCCGUGAGGACCCCAAAACACGAGAUGAAUUUCUCACCCUUAUUAGAAGCUGAAUAGACCUUCUGUAACAACCUGCCGUCCCUAGAUCAUUAUGCACAUUUUAUGUUAAUUUCUACCUAAACCCAGAGAGAUUUCAUUUAUGUGGUCAAUUUUAAUAUCUAAACAGGCUAUCCAGUUUUCUGUGCAUUUGUGUCAAAGCGUGGUAUAAAAUGAUUUCAACCAAGGACUGGUCAUCCGUAAAGUACUAGCCAUAGAAUACACAUAGUUUGUUAUAAUUAAACCAUAAUCAUAGUAAGUACAUUGUAUUAUUCACUUUAUUACCCAAUAUAUCCAAAGAAAAUAUUUGUAUGCACAACUUUGAGGUAAAAGACUAUCAAAAGUUUUCUCCUUGAUAUCCUACAGAAUAAAAUGCAAGUUGCCAGUAUUUCUCUAACAUAAAUGACAAUCUCUCAUGUGUGUAUUUUAGAUUGGCCUUCUUACCAGUUUACUUGAAAUUGCAUUCAUAUAUUGAGAUGUUUUCUAUGUUAGUUUUUUGUAUGUUUUAAAUAUUAUACUAGGACAAAAAUGAACCAUUUACCAAUUCUAUGGUGGCAUUGUGGCCUCACACUUCCACUGUUGUGGGUUUGAUUUGUGCCCUCAGCUCUGUCUGUGUUGUGCUCUUCCUCUGUGCGUGUUUGCUCCUGUAGGCCAAAAACACAUCUAGGGAAAGUGCCAUUUCUGAAUCAUCCAAAGUGUGUAAGAAUAUUCUUGAACUGGCAUCUCAUCCAGGUUGCCCUGUGUUUCCUGGAAUCACUGUGACCCUGUACUAAUUAAAGAUGAAUUGUGUAAUUGUC
Non-coding RNA from Paramormyrops kingsleyae, 1509 nucleotides. NCBI's taxonomy places the organism in Eukaryota, Metazoa, Chordata, Actinopteri, Osteoglossiformes, Mormyridae. The record is from RefSeq and is a predicted model, not a curated record.